This 500-nucleotide ribosomal RNA is filed under the name uncultured bacterium. RNAcentral describes it as "partial 16S ribosomal RNA". It matches the Rfam family "Bacterial small subunit ribosomal RNA", at positions 30 to 523 of the family's 1533-position model. The record is from RNAcentral.
AUUGAACGCUGGCGGCAUGCCUUACACAUGCAAGUCGAACGGCAGCACGGGAGCAAUCCUGGUGGCGAGUGGCGAACGGGUGAGUAAAGUAUCGGAACGUGCCCAGUCGUGGGGGAUAACGUAGCGAAAGUUACGCUAAUACCGCAUACGAUCUAUGGAUGAAAGCGGGGGAUCGCAAGACCUCGCGCGAUUGGAGCGGCCGAUAUCAGAUUAGGUAGUUGGUGGGGUAAAGGCUCACCAAGCCGACGAUCUGUAGCUGGUAUGAGAGGACGACCAGCACCACUGGGACUGAGGCACGGAGCAGACUCCUACGGGAGGCAGCAGUGGGGAAGUUUGGACAAUGGGCGAAAGCCUGAUCCAGCCAUGCCGCUUGCAGGAAGAAGGCCUUCGGGUUGUAAACUGCUUUUGUACGGAACGAAAAGGUUUGGCCUAAUAAGCUGAGCUCAUGACGGUACCGUAAGAAUAAGCACCGGCUAACUACGUGCCAGCCGCCGCCGUAA